RNAcentral lists this ribosomal RNA (253 nucleotides) under uncultured bacterium. Its description in RNAcentral is "partial 16S ribosomal RNA". It matches the Rfam family "Bacterial small subunit ribosomal RNA", at positions 524 to 776 of the family's 1533-position model. The record is from RNAcentral.
UACGUAGGGUGCGAGCGUUGUCCGGAAUCACUGGGCGUAAAGGGCGCGUAGGCGGCGCGGGGAGUCAACGGUGAAAGCUCGGCGCUCAACGCCGAGUCGGCCGUCGAUACUCCCGUGCUUGAGCACUGUAGAGGCAGGUGGAAUUCCGGGUGUAGCGGUGGAAUGCGUAGAGAUCCGGAAGAACACCAGUGGCGAAGGCGGCUUACUGGCCCGAUACUGACGCUGAGGCACGAAAGCGUGGGGAGCAAACAGG